This 1399-nucleotide ribosomal RNA is filed under the name Lactiplantibacillus plantarum subsp. plantarum. RNAcentral's name for it is "bacterial SSU rRNA". It matches the Rfam family "Bacterial small subunit ribosomal RNA", at positions 63 to 1432 of the family's 1533-position model. The record is from RNAcentral. Lineage: Bacteria; Bacillati; Bacillota; Bacilli; Lactobacillales; Lactobacillaceae.
CGAACUCUGGUAUUGAUUGGUGCUUGCAUCAUGAUUUACAUUUGAGUGAGUGGCGAACUGGUGAGUAACACGUGGGAAACCUGCCCAGAAGCGGGGGAUAACACCUGGAAACAGAUGCUAAUACCGCAUAACAACUUGGACCGCAUGGUCCGAGUUUGAAAGAUGGCUUCGGCUAUCACUUUUGGAUGGUCCCGCGGCGUAUUAGCUAGAUGGUGGGGUAACGGCUCACCAUGGCAAUGAUACGUAGCCGACCUGAGAGGGUAAUCGGCCACAUUGGGACUGAGACACGGCCCAAACUCCUACGGGAGGCAGCAGUAGGGAAUCUUCCACAAUGGACGAAAGUCUGAUGGAGCAACGCCGCGUGAGUGAAGAAGGGUUUCGGCUCGUAAAACUCUGUUGUUAAAGAAGAACAUAUCUGAGAGUAACUGUUCAGGUAUUGACGGUAUUUAACCAGAAAGCCACGGCUAACUACGUGCCAGCAGCCGCGGUAAUACGUAGGUGGCAAGCGUUGUCCGGAUUUAUUGGGCGUAAAGCGAGCGCAGGCGGUUUUUUAAGUCUGAUGUGAAAGCCUUCGGCUCAACCGAAGAAGUGCAUCGGAAACUGGGAAACUUGAGUGCAGAAGAGGACAGUGGAACUCCAUGUGUAGCGGUGAAAUGCGUAGAUAUAUGGAAGAACACCAGUGGCGAAGGCGGCUGUCUGGUCUGUAACUGACGCUGAGGCUCGAAAGUAUGGGUAGCAAACAGGAUUAGAUACCCUGGUAGUCCAUACCGUAAACGAUGAAUGCUAAGUGUUGGAGGGUUUCCGCCCUUCAGUGCUGCAGCUAACGCAUUAAGCAUUCCGCCUGGGGAGUACGGCCGCAAGGCUGAAACUCAAAGGAAUUGACGGGGGCCCGCACAAGCGGUGGAGCAUGUGGUUUAAUUCGAAGCUACGCGAAGAACCUUACCAGGUCUUGACAUACUAUGCAAAUCUAAGAGAUUAGACGUUCCCUUCGGGGACAUGGAUACAGGUGGUGCAUGGUUGUCGUCAGCUCGUGUCGUGAGAUGUUGGGUUAAGUCCCGCAACGAGCGCAACCCUUAUUAUCAGUUGCCAGCAUUAAGUUGGGCACUCUGGUGAGACUGCCGGUGACAAACCGGAGGAAGGUGGGGAUGACGUCAAAUCAUCAUGCCCCUUAUGACCUGGGCUACACACGUGCUACAAUGGAUGGUACAACGAGUUGCGAACUCGCGAGAGUAAGCUAAUCUCUUAAAGCCAUUCUCAGUUCGGAUUGUAGGCUGCAACUCGCCUACAUGAAGUCGGAAUCGCUAGUAAUCGCGGAUCAGCAUGCCGCGGUGAAUACGUUCCCGGGCCUUGUACACACCGCCCGUCACACCAUGAGAGUUUGUAACACCCAAAGUCGGUG